Molecule: ribosomal RNA, 284 nt
Filed under: uncultured bacterium
Lineage: Bacteria
Description: partial 16S ribosomal RNA
Rfam family: Bacterial small subunit ribosomal RNA
Source: RNAcentral
UUUCGGUCAAGCCCCGGACUGUUUUAGUGGCGGACGGGUGAGUAACGCGUGGGCAACCUGCCCCGUACCGGGGGAUAACACCUGGAAACAGGUGCUAAUACCGCAUAAUAAGAGGUUCCGCAUGGGGCCUCCUUGAAAACUCCGGUGGUACGGGAUGGACCCGCGUCUGAUUAGCUGGUUGGCGGGGUAACGGCCCACCAAGGCGACGAUCAGUAGCCGGCCUGAGAGGGUGGACGGCCACAUUGGGACUGAGACACGGCCCAGACUCCUACGGGAGGCAGCAG